UGGCGCACGGGUGCGUAACGCGUAACCAACCUACCCACAACUGGGGGAUAGCCCGCCGAAAGGCGGAUUAAUACCGCAUAAGCUUUGAGAGUGGCAUCACUUUUUUAGUAAAGAUUUAUUGGUUGUGGAUGGGGUUGCGUGCCAUUAGCUAGUUGGUGAGGUAACGGCUCACCAAGGCGACGAUGGCUAGGGGAGCUGAGAGGCUGGUCCCCCACACGGGCACUGAGAUACGGGCCCG
RNAcentral lists this ribosomal RNA (238 nucleotides) under uncultured bacterium. RNAcentral's name for it is "partial 16S ribosomal RNA". It matches the Rfam family "Bacterial small subunit ribosomal RNA", at positions 96 to 334 of the family's 1533-position model. The record is from RNAcentral.